Molecule: transfer RNA, 72 nt
Filed under: Ogcocephalus nasutus (shortnose batfish)
Lineage: Eukaryota; Metazoa; Chordata; Actinopteri; Lophiiformes; Ogcocephalidae
Also listed under: 1 other name
Description: tRNA-Trp
Rfam family: tRNA
About the family: Transfer RNA (tRNA) molecules are approximately 80 nucleotides in length. Their secondary structure includes four short double-helical elements and three loops (D, anti-codon, and T loops).
Source: RNAcentral
AGGGGCUUAGGAUAGACACUAAACCAGGAGCCUUCAAAGCUCUAGACGAGAGUGAAAACCUCUCAGCCCCUG